Molecule: ribosomal RNA, 514 nt
Filed under: uncultured Methylobacterium sp.
Lineage: Bacteria; Pseudomonadati; Pseudomonadota; Alphaproteobacteria; Hyphomicrobiales; Methylobacteriaceae
Description: bacterial SSU rRNA
Rfam family: Bacterial small subunit ribosomal RNA
Source: RNAcentral
UGGCAGACGGGUGAGUAACACGUGGGAACGUACCCUUCGGUUCGGAAUAACUCAGGGAAACUUGAGCUAAUACCGGAUACGCCCUUUUGGGGAAAGGUUUACUGCCGAAGGAUCGGCCCGCGUCUGAUUAGCUUGUUGGUGGGGUAACGGCCUACCAAGGCGACGAUCAGUAGCUGGUCUGAGAGGAUGAUCAGCCACACUGGGACUGAGACACGGCCCAGACUCCUACGGGAGGCAGCAGUGGGGAAUAUUGGACAAUGGGCGCAAGCCUGAUCCAGCCAUGCCGCGUGAGUGAUGAAGGCCUUAGGGUUGUAAAGCUCUUUUGUCCGGGACGAUAAUGACGGUACCGGAAGAAUAAGCCCCGGCUAACUUCGUGCCAGCAGCCGCGGUAAUACGAAGGGGGCUAGCGUUGCUCGGAAUCACUGGGCGUAAAGGGCGCGUAGGCGGCCGAUUAAGUCGGGGGUGAAAGCCUGUGGCUCAACCACAGAAUUGCCUUCGAUACUGGUUGGCUUGA